This is a long non-coding RNA of Condylostylus longicornis, 532 nucleotides long. RefSeq lists it as uncharacterized. Lineage: Eukaryota; Metazoa; Arthropoda; Insecta; Diptera; Dolichopodidae. The transcript is spliced from 3 exons. The record is from RefSeq and is a predicted model, not a curated record.
GCUGAAUCUUCCAAUAGCGUAAUAUUAUUAAAUAGAAAAAUUUCGAGACACACGACCAUAAAUUCUAUUAAAAUAGAAUUUAUUUUAAUAUUCGUCUAUAAUUUUUGAAAGUUACUACUUUUGGAAAAGGAAAUAUUUGAACGCUCUGACGUGAAAUCUUUCUAAAAAUGAUAAAAAUAUAACAUGUAGGAGAAAGUGGUUUAUACUCGGAGUGAAAUGGAAGCAGGGGUCAUUAUACAUACAAAUAAACAAUAUUUCAAAAAAUUCCUCAACAAUCCGAAACAAAUCCGAAUCAAAUGGUAGUUCAUAUCGAAGAAAAGUGAAAUAUCUUCAUCUAACAUAGAGGGAUUGAAAAUUUCGAAUCUAUUGAAUUUCAAAUAUUUCACACAAUAAGACUUUUCGUUUCUAAGUUAAGGCAAUAAAGAACUUUUUGGGAAUGCAAAAAUUUUUAAAAGUUUAUGAUAAAAAAGCAAAAUUAUAAGAAAACUUUUAAAGAAAAGCGAAAGUGAAAAAUUGUCUUCAGUAUAAGCGU